AAUAGAUACCCUGGUAGUCCACGCCGUAAACGAUGAGUGCUAAGUGUUAGGGGGUUUCCGCCCCUUAGUGCUGCAGCUAACGCAUUAAGCACUCCGCCUGGGGAGUACGGUCGCAAGACUGAAACUCAAAGGAAUUGACGGGGGCCCGCACAAGCGGUGGAGCAUGUGGUUUAAUUCGAAGCAACGCGAAGAACCUUACCAGGUCUUGACAUCCCAUUGACCGCUAUGGAGACAUAGUUUUCCCUUCGGGGACAGUGGUGACAGGUGGUGCAUGGUUGUCGUCAGCUCGUGUCGUGAGAUAUUGGGUUAAGUCCCGCAACGAGCGCAACCCUUGUUCUUAGUUGCCAUCAUUUAGUUGGGCACUCUAAGGAGACUGCCGGUGACAAACCGGAGGAAGGUGGGGAUGACGUCAAAUCAUCAUGCCCCUUAUGACCUGGGCUACACACGUGCUACAAUGGACGGUACAAACGGUUGCCAACCCGCGAGGGGGAGCUAAUCCGAUAAAACCGUUCUCAGUUCGGAUUGUAGGCUGCAACUCGCCUAC
This 544-nucleotide ribosomal RNA is filed under the name uncultured bacterium. RNAcentral's name for it is "bacterial SSU rRNA". It matches the Rfam family "Bacterial small subunit ribosomal RNA", at positions 777 to 1319 of the family's 1533-position model. The record is from RNAcentral.